AAAAUGGGGUUAUAAUAGUCUUCAUAGGGUGGUUGUGCUGUUCAUUUAAGCCUGCACGUGGAAAGAACAGUGCCAGGGCACAGUGAGACCCAGUAAGUGGUAACUAUUAAUUCUAUAAUUGGGGUUAGGAUUGGGGCUCGGCAGGAGUCUGCCCCGAAGGCAGCAGCUCCCUGCCCUCAGCCUGCUCUUUGGGACUCCUGGCUGAGGCUGGAGAGAAGCCUGACUCAUUCUCUACAGACACAGACAAUCAAGAGUCGGGAGUUAUGUCAUCCUUUGAACAUGGGCCUGGAGGCUCUGCCGCAGGCUCAUCUGAAAAAUAAAUAAUAACAACUUGAAUAAUUCACAGAAUCUGUGUGAAUAAUUCACCACGGCCUCCCAAGCACCAGCCGAUUAGUCACCACAGACACAGGCUCUGGUCCGUCUGCCUCUGGUUGCCCCACCACCCCUUGGGGGUGUGGCCUAGCCACAGGUGCAGGAGAUGGCAGGCAUGAAGGAACAGUUGGAGGGGCCCUCCCAAGGCUGCAGGGGUCUGGGGGCAGCUGGGGAGGUAGGGGCCAUGGUCUCUCCAUGGAAGCCAAAGGGACUCUCCCAAAGUCCCUGAGCUAGGGAGAUCAUGCAGCCGGCCAUCAAUGCUUCCCCACUUUGCACUGCGUUUUGGAGAUGUGGAGGAAGCCCACGUUGGCAGUGACAAUCAGAAUGUCAAAAUGUCUCAGAGGAUUCCUAGGAAAUCUGAGGCACUUCACGAUGAGCCUGCCCGGGCCAGAGACCAGCCGGAGUGAAUCCUUAAUGCACUUCACAGGAAGGGGGACUCUUCCGAAAUGCUAAUACAAUCAACCUGAAAGGCAAACUUCCAGCUUCCUGCUCAGUGAUCAGACCUGCGCUCCCAGAGCUGAGGUGCUCUCCACAGAGAAGGCCAGAAGCCCUGCCUCCUCACCUAGUGCGCUGGGAACAGCGGUCCAUCCUAAGUCCCCGAGCACAUUGCAGGUGCUGGGUAAAGCUUGCAGGCACUUCCUGUUGCAGCCAGCCAGGGCAGCAACGCAGACUCACUCUGGACACAGAGUGUCCUAGGUCCUAGGUCUGCUACAUGGACACAGGAGGAGGAAGCUUAACCAAGAAACAACCAUGGAAUAAAAAAGGAGAUAUCUGGAUAAAGGAGGAACUG
RNAcentral lists this long non-coding RNA (1162 nucleotides) under Felis catus (domestic cat). RNAcentral describes it as "lncRNA (ENSFCAG00000045302.2)". Lineage: Eukaryota; Metazoa; Chordata; Mammalia; Carnivora; Felidae. The record is from RNAcentral.